AACGAACGCUGGCGGCAUGCCUAACACAUGCAAGUCGAACGAAACCUUCGGGUCUAGUGGCGCACGGGUUCGUAACGCGUGGGAACCUUCCCUUAGGGUCGGAAUAACUCCCCGAAAGGGGUGCUAAUACCGGAUAAUGUCUUCGGACCAACGAUUUAUCGCCUUUGGAUGGGCCCGCGUUGGAUUAGCUAGUUCGUAGGGUAAAAGCCUACCAAGGCGACGAUCCAUAGCUGGUCUGAGAGGAUGAUCAGCCACACUGGGACUGAGACACGGCCCAGACUCCUACGGGAGGGAGAAGGGGGGAAGAUUGGACGACGGGCGAAAGACUGAUCCAGCAGUGCCGCGUGAGUGAGUAAGGCGUUAGGGUUGUAAAGCUCAGUUACCGGGCAUGAUAAUGACAGUCCCGGGAGAAUAAGCACCGGCUAACACCGU
RNAcentral lists this ribosomal RNA (432 nucleotides) under uncultured bacterium. RNAcentral's name for it is "partial 16S ribosomal RNA". It matches the Rfam family "Bacterial small subunit ribosomal RNA", at positions 29 to 506 of the family's 1533-position model. The record is from RNAcentral.